UGUCUUCUUAAAGUCUAUCUGAAGACCGUUUCAAAUCUCCCUCUACUGCGUAUUAAAAAGGCUAUGUACAAAAAAUGCUGGAUUUAUUGUUCAGCAGUGUGGUGGGAACCCCCCUACCAUACCUGGAGCUGUUACAGAAGGCUGAGGCAGUGGCCAGACACCAGAGUAAUGGAGGACACUUCAAUCAGCCUCCAAGGACACGCUGGUCAGCAUUUACACUGCCUGGUGAUGGCUUUACUGCCAAAGUUAUC
RNAcentral lists this long non-coding RNA (251 nucleotides) under Salmo trutta (river trout). RNAcentral describes it as "lncRNA (ENSSTUG00000014321.1)". The record is from RNAcentral. Lineage: Eukaryota; Metazoa; Chordata; Actinopteri; Salmoniformes; Salmonidae.